GUGGGGAAUAUUGUACAAUGGGCGAAAGCCUGAUGCAGCAACGCCGCGUGAGGGACGACGGCCUUCGGGUUGUAAACCUCUUUUAGUAGGGAAGAAGCGAAAGUGACGGUACCUGCAGAAAAAGCACCGGCUAACUACGUGCCAGCAGCCGCGGUAAUACGUAGGGUGCAAGCGUUAUCCGGAAUUAUUGGGCGUAAAGAGCUCGUAGGCGGUCUGUCGCGUCUGCUGUGAAAACUGGAGGCUCAACCUCCAGCCUGCAGUGGGUACGGGCAGACUAGAGUGCGGUAGGGGAGAUUGGAAUUCCUGGUGUAGCGGUGGAAUGCGCAGAUAUCAGGAGGAACACCGAUGGCGAAGGCAGAUCUCUGGGCCGUAACUGACGCUGAGGAGCGAAAGCGUGGGGAGCGAACAGGAUUAGAAACCCCAGUAGUCC
RNAcentral lists this ribosomal RNA (430 nucleotides) under uncultured bacterium. Its description in RNAcentral is "partial 16S ribosomal RNA". It matches the Rfam family "Bacterial small subunit ribosomal RNA", at positions 354 to 796 of the family's 1533-position model. The record is from RNAcentral.